UGAGGAAUAUUGGUCAAUGGGCGCGAGCCUGAACCAGCCAAGUCGCGUGAAGGAUGAAGGUUCUAUGGAUUGUAAACUUCUUUUAUGGGGGAAUAAAGUGCGGGACGCGUCCCGUUUUGUAUGUACCUCAUGAAUAAGCAUCGGCUAACUCCGUGCCAGCAGCCGCGGUAAUACGGAGGAUGCGAGCGUUAUCCGGAUUCAUUGGGUUUAAAGGGUGCGUAGGUGGCCUUGCAAGUCAGCGGUGAAAGGCCCGGGCUCAACCCGGAAAGUGCCGUUGAUACUGUGAGGCUGGAAUGCGGAUGCUGUGGGAGGAAUGAGUGGUGUAGCGGUGAAAUGCAUAGAUAUCACUCAGAACACCGAUUGCGAAGGCAUCUCACAAAUCCGCAAUUGACGCUGAGGCACGAAAGCGUGGGGAUCGAACAGGAUUAGAUACCCUGGUAGU
This 442-nucleotide ribosomal RNA is filed under the name uncultured Parabacteroides sp. RNAcentral's name for it is "bacterial SSU rRNA". It matches the Rfam family "Bacterial small subunit ribosomal RNA", at positions 355 to 794 of the family's 1533-position model. The record is from RNAcentral. Lineage: Bacteria; Pseudomonadati; Bacteroidota; Bacteroidia; Bacteroidales; Tannerellaceae.